CCCCCGCCCCGCCCGGGGGCCGCAGGGGUUCUCGGCGCGCCGACGGCCGGGGCGGCGGCGGACGGACGGGCUGGACGGACGGACGGCGGCUGAUCGCCCCGCGGUCUUCAUGGAGCACCUGCCAGGUGCCUUUCAGUGUCCUGGGGAUAAAGCAGUGACCGGGAUGAUGUCCUCCACCCACAGAGAGCUCGCUUUCGGGUGGUAGACGCAGACGGGAGACGAUUGGAAGCUCACUGUGGCGUCGCCUGCUGGCCGCGCGUGCGGAAGUCCAGAAAGCUGGUGUGGACUGGGGGCCUCCCAGGAGAGGGGACUGUUCAUCUCGAGGUGGCACCUGGCCGGCCGUGGGACCAUGACGCUGCUCUGGGAGCCCGUGGAAGCCUGGCUAGUGCUGGCCCUGGCCUUGGCGCUGGCCCUGGGCCCCAGUGUGGGUGUAGCUGCCCCGAGGCAGGACUGCACGGGUGUGGAGUGCCCGCCGCUGGAGCACUGCAUCGAGGAGGCGCUGGAGCCGGGCGGUGCCUGUGAC
This 523-nucleotide long non-coding RNA is filed under the name Equus asinus (donkey). RNAcentral describes it as "lncRNA (ENSEASG00005024671.1)". The record is from RNAcentral. Lineage: Eukaryota; Metazoa; Chordata; Mammalia; Perissodactyla; Equidae.